This 323-nucleotide unclassified non-coding RNA is filed under the name soil metagenome. RNAcentral's name for it is "partial contains 5.8S ribosomal RNA, internal transcribed spacer 2, and large subunit ribosomal RNA". The stretch from base 1 to 120 matches the Rfam family "5.8S ribosomal RNA", at positions 35 to 154 of the family's 154-position model. The record is from RNAcentral.
GAUGAAGAACGCAGCGAAGUGCGAUAAGUAGUGUGAAUUGCAGAAUUCAGUGAAUCAUCGAAUCUUUGAACGCACAUUGCGCCCCUUGGUAUUCCAUGGGGCAUGCCUGUUCGAGCGUCAUUUGUACCUUCAAGCUUUGCUUGGUGUUGGGUGUUUGUCCUGAGGGACUCGCCUUAAAGUAAUUGGCAGCCAGUGUUUGGUUUUGAAGCGCAGCACAAGUCGCGAUUCAAGGCUAUACACCAGCUUCCACAAGCCUUUUUCACUUUUGACCUCGGAUCAGGUAGGGAUACCCGCUGAACUUAAGCAUAUCAAUAAGCGGAGGA